UUAAGCGACCAAGCGUACACGGUGGAUGCCCUGGCAGUCAGAGGCGAUGAAGGACGUGCUAAUCUGCGAAAAGCGCCGGUAAGGUGAUAUGAACCGUUAUAACCGGCGAUGUCCGAAUGGGGAAACCCAGUGUGACUCGUCACACUAUCAUUAACUGAAUCCAUAGGUUAAUGAGGCGAACCGGGGGAACUGAAACAUCUAAGUACCCCGAGGAAAAGAAAUCAACCGAGAUUCCCCCAGUAGCGGCGAGCGAACGGGGAGGAGCCCAGAGCCUGAAUCAGCAUGUGUGUUAGUGGAAGCGUCUGGAAAGGCGCGCGAUACAGGGUGACAGCCCCGUACACAAAAGCGCAUGUGCUGUGAGCUCGAUGAGUAGGGCGGGACACGUGGUAUCCUGUCUGAAUAUGGGGGGACCAUCCUCCAAGGCUAAAUACUCCUGACUGACCGAUAGUGAACCAGUACCGUGAGGGAAAGGCGAAAAGAACCCCGGCGAGGGGAGUGAAACAGAACCUGAAACCGUGUACGUACAAGCAGUGGGAGCCCCACCACUAAGCCAGUGGUGAACUCCACAUACGCAUCCUUUGCGGAAGAUACGGUUAACGGAGCGAAAGCGACGUUCAACCGCAAAAGAAGCAGAGGGGGCUUAGUGGUGGGGUGACUGCGUACCUUUUGUAUAAUGGGUCAGCGACUUAUAUUCUGUAGCAAGGUUAACCGUAUAGGGGAGCCGGAGGGAAACCGAGUCUUAACCGGGCGUUAAGUUGCAGGGUAUAGACCCGAAACCCGGUGAUCUAGCCAUGGGCAGGUUGAAGGUUGGGUAACACUAACUGGAGGACCGAACCGACUAAUGUUGAAAAAUUAGCGGAUGACCUGUGGCUGGGGUGAAAGGCCAAUCAAACCGGGAGAUAGCUGGUUCUCCCCGAAAGCUAUUUAGGUAGCGCCUCGUGAAUUCAUCUCCGGGGGUAGAGCACUGUUUCGGCCAGGGGGCCAUCCCGGCUUACCAACCCGAUGCAAACUGCGAAUACCGGAGAAUGUUAUCACGGGAGACACACGGCGGGUGCUAACGUCCGUCGUGAAGAGGGAAACAACCCAGACCGCCAGCUAAGGUCCCAAAGUCAUGGUUAAGUGGGAAACGAUGUGGGAAGGCCCAGACAGCCAGGAUGUUGGCUUAGAAGCAGCCAUCAUUUAAAGAAAGCGUAAUAGCUCACUGGUCGAGUCGGCCUGCGCGGAAGAUGUAACGGGGCUAAACCAUGCACCGAAGCUGCGGCAGCGACACUGUGUGUUGUUGGGUAGGGGAGCGUUCUGUAAGCCUGCGAAGGUGUGCUGUGAGGCAUGCUGGAGGUAUCAGAAGUGCGAAUGCUGACAUAAGUAACGAUAAUGCGGGUGAAAAACCCGCACGCCGGAAGACCAAGGGUUCCUGUCCAACGUUAAUCGGGGCAGGGUGAGUCGACCCCUAAGGCGAGGCCGAAAGGCGUAGUCGAUGGGAAACGGGUUAAUAUUCCCGUACCUGGUGUUACUGCGAAGGGGGACGGAGAAGGCUAUGUUGGCCGGGCGACGGUUGUCCCGGUUUAAGCGUGUAGGUGUGUGUUCCAGGAAAAUCCGGUUCACUUUAACACUGAGGCGUGACGACGAGGCACUACGGUGCUGAAGCAACAAAUGCCCUGCUUCCAGGAAAAGCCUCUAAGCCUCAGGUAACAUCAGAUCGUACCCGAAACCGACACAGGUGGUCAGGUAGAGAAUACCAAGGCGCUUGAGAGAACCCGGGUGAAGGAACUAGGCAAAAUGGUGCCGUAACUUCGGGAGAAGGCACGCUGACAUGUAGGUGAAGCGGUUUACCCGUGGAGCUGAAGUCAGUCGAAGAUACCAGCUGGCUGCAACUGUUUAUUAAAAACACAGCACUGUGCAAACACGAAAGUGGACGUAUACGGUGUGACGCCUGCCCGGUGCCGGAAGGUUAAUUGAUGGGGUCAGCGCAAGCGAAGCUCCUGAUCGAAGCCCCGGUAAACGGCGGCCGUAACUAUAACGGUCCUAAGGUAGCGAAAUUCCUUGUCGGGUAAGUUCCGACCUGCACGAAUGGCGUAAUGAUGGCCAGGCUGUCUCCACCCGGGACUCAGUGAAAUUGAACUCGCUGUGAAGAUGCAGUGUACCCGCGGCAAGACGGAAAGACCCCGUGAACCUUUACUAUAGCUUGACACUGAACACUGGUCCUUGAUGUGCAGGAUAGGUGGGAGGCUUUGAAGUGUGGACGCCAGUCUGCAUGGAGCCGUCCUUGAAAUACCACCCUUUAAUGGCUGGUGUUCUAACGUAGACCCGUGAACCGGGUUGCGGACAGUGUCUGGUGGGUAGUUUGACUGGGGCGGUCUCCUCCUAAAGCGUAACGGAGGAGCACGAAGGUUGGCUAAUCCUGGUCGGACAUCAGGAGGUUAGUGCAAUGGCAUAAGCCAGCUUGACUGCGAGCGUGACGGCGCGAGCAGGUGCGAAAGCAGGUCAUAGUGAUCCGGUGGUUCUGAAUGGAAGGGCCAUCGCUCAACGGAUAAAAGGUACUCCGGGGAUAACAGGCUGAUACCGCCCAAGAGUUCAUAUCGACGGCGGUGUUUGGCACCUCGAUGUCGGCUCAUCACAUCCUGGGGCUGAAGUAGGUCCCAAGGGUAUGGCUGUUCGCCAUUUAAAGUGGUACGCGAGCUGGGUUUAGAACGUCGUGAGACAGUUCGGUCCCUAUCUGCCGUGGGCGCUGGAGAACUGAGGGGGGCUGCUCCUAGUACGAGAGGACCGGAGUGGACGCAUCACUGGUGUUCGGGUUGUCAUGCCAAUGGCACUGCCCGGUAGCUAAAUGCGGAAGAGAUAAGUGCUGAAAGCAUCUAAGCACGAAACUUGCCCCGAGAUGAGUUCUCCCUGAGACUACAAGUCUCCUGAAGGAACGUUGAAGACGACGACGUUGAUAGGCCGGGUGUGUAAGCGCAGCGAUGCGUUGAGCUAACCGGUACUAAUGAACCGUGAGGCUUAACCUU
RNAcentral lists this ribosomal RNA (3002 nucleotides) under Salmonella enterica subsp. arizonae. Its description in RNAcentral is "bacterial LSU rRNA". It matches the Rfam family "Bacterial large subunit ribosomal RNA". The record is from RNAcentral. Lineage: Bacteria; Pseudomonadati; Pseudomonadota; Gammaproteobacteria; Enterobacterales; Enterobacteriaceae.